CUUUAAGACACCCAGUACUGAUCAGUGACUGACCAGUCCUUUCACAGACACUGACACAGGCAGCAUUAUGAUGAUGUCAAACGUUAUACUGCUGGUGACGCUGGGACUCCUUGUACAGGAAUCAAUGGCAGAUAUAGUUCUGACUCAGGAUCCAGCAGCUCAGUCUGUUCAGCUGGGAGACACUGUCUCUAUCAGCUGUACAGCCAGUCAGGGCGUUUACAGUAGUCCCUACCACUACCUCCACUGGUACCUGCAGAAACCUGGUCAGGCUCCUAAACUUCUGAUUUAUUAUGCCACAACACGCCAGUCUGGGAUUCCUGAUCGUUUCAGUGGGAGUGGAUCUGGGACUCAGUUCACACUGAAAAUCACUGGAGUCCAGGCUGAAGAUGCAGGAGAUUAUUACUGUCAGCAGAGAUAUAGCUCGCCGACACAGUGAUACAGAGCCGUACAAAAACCUCCCUCAGUCAGUCUGCACAGAGACUGCACUGCUGCAGCUGGGACCUACUGCAGGUGCUGAGGGGGGAGUCACUGAUCUGGAACACUGAGCUACAGUGGAUAUUAUGAAAUGAUUUAUACUCUCAAAUCAAAUGAUUACCAUAUAUUUUCAUUUCAGUGUAUCCAAACUUUUAAUUAAGAAUGUAAUGUGGUAGAAUUUCCAAUGACUUUGCUUUAUAAUCUCUCCCUGGGCAGUUGAUAUUUGUUGUUCUGAAGCAGUGCACUGACCUAAUAUAUCACAAUUCUAAAUGAAUUCAUUCUGAAAAGGUUU
Non-coding RNA from Anguilla rostrata (American eel), 766 nucleotides. Lineage: Eukaryota; Metazoa; Chordata; Actinopteri; Anguilliformes; Anguillidae. The record is from the annotation of a RefSeq genome assembly.